This 322-nucleotide ribosomal RNA is filed under the name uncultured eukaryote. RNAcentral's name for it is "partial 18S ribosomal RNA". It matches the Rfam family "Eukaryotic small subunit ribosomal RNA", at positions 1470 to 1796 of the family's 1831-position model. The record is from RNAcentral.
CCCUUAGAUGCUCUGGGCCGCACGCGUGCUACACUGAGUGGAUCAGCGGGUCAGGUUACGCGAGAGCGUUUCCUAAUCUUCAAAUCCGCUCGUGAUGGGGAUUGACGGUUGCAAUUUUCCGUCAUGAACGAGGAAUACCUUGUAAGCGCGGGUCAUCAUCCCGCGCUGAAUACGUCCCUGCCCUUUGUACACACCGCCCGUCGCUCCUACCGAUUGAGUGGUCCGGUGAGGCUUUGGGAUCUAAGCGAAAAGAGCGUUUCGCUCCUUUUGCUGGGAGAACUCAGUCGAACCUUAUCAUUUAGAGGAAGGAGAAGUCGUAACA